AUUGAACGCUGGCGGCAUGCCUUACACAUGCAAGUCGAACGGCAGCGGACCUUCGGGUGCCGGCGAGUGGCGAACGGGUGAGUAAUAUAUCGGAACGUACCUUUCAGUGGGGGAUAACGUAGCGAAAGUUACGCUAAUACCGCAUAUUCUGUGAGCAGGAAAGCAGGGGAUCGCAAGACCUUGCGCUGAUUGAGCGGCCGAUAUCAGAUUAGCUAGUUGGUGAGGUAAAGGCUCACCAAGGCGACGAUCUGUAGCGGGUCUGAGAGGAUGAUCCGCCACACUGGAACUGAGAUACGGUCCAGACUCCUACGGGAGGCAGCAGUGGGGAAUUUUGGACAAUGGGCGCAAGCCUGAUCCAGCCAUGCCGCGUGAGUGAAGAAGGCCU
This 385-nucleotide ribosomal RNA is filed under the name uncultured bacterium. RNAcentral describes it as "bacterial SSU rRNA". It matches the Rfam family "Bacterial small subunit ribosomal RNA", at positions 30 to 417 of the family's 1533-position model. The record is from RNAcentral.